ACGAACGCUGGCGGCGUGCUUAACACAUGCAAGUCGAACGAAAAGGCCCUGCUUGCAGGGUGCUCGAGUGGCGAACGGGUGAGUAACACGUGGGUGAUCUGCCCCUUACUUUGGGAUAAGCCUGGGAAACUGGGUCUAAUACUGGAUAGGACCAUGCUGUAGGUGGUGUGGUGGAAAGAUUAGUUUCGGUAAGGGAUGAGCUCGCGGCCUAUCAGCUUGUUGGUGGGGUAAUGGCCUACCAAGGCGUCGACGGGUAGCCGGCCUGAGAGGGUGGACGGCCACAUUGGGACUGAGAUACGGCCCAGACUCCUACGGGAGGCAGCAGUGGGGAAUAGUGCACAAUGGGCGCAAGCCUGAUGCAGCGACGCCGCGUGGGGGAUGACGGCCUUCGGGUUGUAAACUCCUUUCAGCCAUGACGAAGCCCUUGUGGUGACGGUAGUGGUAGAAGAAGCACCGGCUAACUACGUG
This 468-nucleotide ribosomal RNA is filed under the name uncultured bacterium. RNAcentral's name for it is "partial 16S ribosomal RNA". It matches the Rfam family "Bacterial small subunit ribosomal RNA", at positions 29 to 507 of the family's 1533-position model. The record is from RNAcentral.